UCAAUUAAUUGCAAAGGAGAAAGAACAAAACUCACAAUGGAAGAGUAAGCCCCAACUUGACAAGUGCGUUUUGGGUCUGUCAGUAAGGGAGGCAACGGAGAUAGCGACUUAACCGUGAGGUCUUGUUAUGGUAAAUAUCAGCUUGAUGCGGAAACGGUUCGGAUAACGAGUAAGCGAAAUGACACUAAAUCGGUUCAUGAAAAUCUAACAUACCGUGUAUCGCAACUUACC
Non-coding RNA from Schizosaccharomyces pombe (fission yeast), 231 nucleotides. NCBI's taxonomy places the organism in Eukaryota, Fungi, Ascomycota, Schizosaccharomycetes, Schizosaccharomycetales, Schizosaccharomycetaceae. The record is from the annotation of a GenBank genome assembly.